This 276-nucleotide unclassified non-coding RNA is filed under the name Hevea brasiliensis (rubber tree). The record is from RNAcentral. Lineage: Eukaryota; Viridiplantae; Streptophyta; Magnoliopsida; Malpighiales; Euphorbiaceae.
AGGAGAUACACAAAUCCUUACAAAUAAGGGAUUACUAAUGCCACACUAUCCCAAGUAAGAGGGAUAUAGGUACCUCACAAACACUUAGUUGACUUUCCUUCAUAGAAACUCCCCCUCAAGCUGGAGCAUGAUGUUAAUCGUGCCUAACUUAUUGCAAAUGUAGUUAACUCAAGCUCCAUUUAGGGUUUUUGUGAAGAUGCCUCCCAAGUGCUUUCUAGUUUUAACACGACUUGUGAAAAUAAACUUUUCCUGAAUCUUGUCAUGAAUAAAAUGACU